UUUCUUUACGCCUAAGUAAUCAUCGUGUUACAAUGAAUGCGUCGCUCUUGGCGACUAUGGUGAUAAACGGAUCACGGAAUAGGCUUGAUGGACCAGGGGGCGGUACCCUGCGCCUCCACCAAUCGUUUUUAUGGGGGCGAAAUAGGUUCGACAUUGUGCAGUAAAGGCGGUUUUUUCACUCGGCAUGGUAUCCACCGUUAUCGGGCUAAUUUGAAUAAUUGCCAAAAAUAUAAAUGGCAGAAGAAGGCGCAGGAAGGCUGUUAACCGUAACAGCAAAACUGCAGUUGCAAAGGCCGCUUAAUCUCCCGUAUGGGAAUUGAGUCCUGAGUAACUUGCCGUUUUUGAUUAAGCGGUAGUCUCCGCGGUCUGAGGAACCGAGCAACAGAAUCCUCAUCC
This 396-nucleotide transfer-messenger RNA is filed under the name Holosporales bacterium. It matches the Rfam family "Alphaproteobacteria transfer-messenger RNA". From Rfam's summary of the family: Bacterial tmRNA, also known as 10Sa RNA or SsrA, is named for its dual tRNA and mRNA-like properties. Its role is to liberate the mRNA from a stalled ribosome. To accomplish this part of the tmRNA is used as a reading frame that ends in a translation stop signal. The record is from RNAcentral. Lineage: Bacteria; Pseudomonadati; Pseudomonadota; Alphaproteobacteria; Holosporales.